This 1295-nucleotide long non-coding RNA is filed under the name Equus caballus (horse). RNAcentral describes it as "lncRNA (ENSECAG00000054080.1)". The record is from RNAcentral. Lineage: Eukaryota; Metazoa; Chordata; Mammalia; Perissodactyla; Equidae.
CCACAAUAGACAACAGACCUCAAUCUUUGACACCGAGGCGGGCAGAUAUAGAAGAUGUAGACAUUAGUGACCCGCCUCCCCUGAUGGAUUCAGACAACGAUGAGAUGAGAGUAGCCGCCCCUCUUCCUCUCUCUCCUACACUCAAGUCUCCUGUACCUCCCACCAACUCAGCCUCUGAUGACUCAAUCUAACACACCCUGGUCACCACCGCCACCUCUCAGCCAUCGAGUGUGCUUGCUGUCUUCCGCAUUCUGAUCUUCAUAUGGAGAGGAACAACUUGAGUUACACCCAAGGAACUGCAUCCAGGGAGCCUCACCUGCUCCAGGGCCUCCCAAGAUCCUGGACCUUAAUGCUGUAAUGGAAUGAGAACUUUGCAGGGGUCUGGGGAAGCGGUGAGUGUAUUUUGCAUGUGGAAAGUAUGUAAAACACUUGUGGCCAGAGGAUGGAUUUUGGAAGUUUUAAAACAUGGCCCCCAAAUUAUUUAACUCACCUCUCAUCAAUCUGAUUUUGUGGCUGUUUGACUAAUAGGAUUCAGUACAGAAUGAAGAUUCUGGGUCAGUUUCUGGUCCCAGGCCUUGAGUGUUAAAGAAAAAAAUAUUCAAUGACACUUGUUAAAGAUGGUAAGGCAGACUUUAUUCAGGACCAUUACAGUAGGUAUAGGGCCCACUGCAAUGGGAUUUUGCAGUUGGGGAGAGAGAUUGGGCGCAACUCCAAACCCAGCAUGGUCAGUGGGAAUUUAGAACCAGAGCACGGUGGUCAGAGGAUGGAAAAUUACUACGAAGAAACAUCAAGGGUAAGGAAGGUUCUGGCUAAACCCACCUAACAGGAUUCUUGUUGAAGGCAGGCCAGGGUGAUCUGUUAUCACCUGGGGGAUGGUGGAGGCUAAAGAAUCUUAUCAGAUAUCGAGGUAGAGGGUUUCACAAGGAAGCACAGAGAUGAGCCUAGGGAGAGAGUUCAGGAGCCUGACUAAAAUUUGGCCAAGCAAGGAAUCUUUGUCAUAAAAAAUUGGCAGCUUCCACUUCCUAGUUUGGGACACUUGCUUUCCGGACCCAGCUGCCACGCUGUUAGGAAGUCAAGCCCACACGGAAAGGCCAUGUGUAGGCAUUCCAGUAGUCCCAACUCAGGUCCCAGUGGACGGCGAGCAUCAAGCAACAAACAUGUUGGUGCAGCAGCCCUCACAUGACUUUAGUCCCGGCCAUAUGACUGCAUCCGUAGGAGAGACCCUUUGGGAGAGACACCUAGCUACGCCCAGUGAACGCCAGACCAUGAGAUACAACAAUAACACGAUCGCCUGC